Molecule: ribosomal RNA, 292 nt
Filed under: uncultured bacterium
Lineage: Bacteria
Description: partial 16S ribosomal RNA
Rfam family: Bacterial small subunit ribosomal RNA
Source: RNAcentral
GUGCCAGCAGCCGCGGUAAUACGGAGGGUGCAAGCGUUAUCCGGAUUCACUGGGUUUAAAGGGUGCGUAGGCGGACUUUCAAGUCAGAGGUGAAAGCCCAGAGCUUAACUCUGGAAUUGCCUUUGAUACUGAUUGUCUUGGAUAUAGUUGAGGUAGGCGGAAUGAGUCGUGUAGCGGUGAAAUGCAUAGAUAUGACUCAGAACGCCGAUUGCGAAGGCAGCUUACUAAACUAUUAUUGACGCUGAGGCACGAAAGCGUGGGGAGCAAACAGGAUUAGAAACCCUGGUAGUCC